RNAcentral lists this ribosomal RNA (253 nucleotides) under uncultured bacterium. RNAcentral describes it as "partial 16S ribosomal RNA". It matches the Rfam family "Bacterial small subunit ribosomal RNA", at positions 524 to 776 of the family's 1533-position model. The record is from RNAcentral.
UACGAAGGGGGCUAGCGUUGCUCGGAAUCACUGGGCGUAAAGCGCGCGUAGGCGGGUCGUUAAGUCGGGGGUGAAAUCCUGGAGCUCAACUCCAGAACUGCCUUUGAUACUGGCGAUCUUGAGUCCGGAAGAGGCGAGUGGAAUUCCUGGUGUAGCGGUGAAAUGCGCAGAUAUCAGGAGGAACACCGAUGGCGAAGGCAGCUCGCUGGGACGGUACUGACGCUGAGGCGCGAAAGCGUGGGGAGCAAACAGG